This 212-nucleotide long non-coding RNA is filed under the name Ananas comosus (pineapple). RNAcentral's name for it is "long non-coding RNA (ACOM_LNC035329)". Lineage: Eukaryota; Viridiplantae; Streptophyta; Magnoliopsida; Poales; Bromeliaceae. The record is from RNAcentral.
CUAUCCAAAGGUCAAGAACACUACACUAUUAGCUAACUUGGCACAAUAUAAUUAAUUUGUGACAUAUUAUAUACUUUGUUCAUUUUUUUAAAAAAAUGAACUUAAAAUAUAUGAAACAAUCAGGUUUCGAACUUAAGAGUUAAGACUUCAGAUAUCAAUCACCAAGCUCUUUGCUACUUGCGCGAAGGACAGCCCAUCAUAUUAUUACAUAU